AGAACGAACGCUGGCGGCAGGCUUAACACAUGCAAGUCGAGCGCCCAGCAAUGGGAGCGGCGGACGGGUGAGUAACACGUGGGAACAUGCCUUUCGGUACGGAACAACUGCGGGAAACUGCAGCUAAUGCCGUAUACGCCCUUACGGGGAAAGAUUUAUCGCCGAAAGAUUGGCCCGCGCCUGAUUAGCUUGUUGGUGAGGUAACGGCUCACCAAGGCUUCGAUCAGUAGCUGGUUUGAGAGAACGACCAGCCACACUGGGACUGAGACACGGCCCAGACUCCUACGGGAGGCAGCAGUGGGGAAUCUUGGACAAUGGGGGAAACCCUGAUCCAGCCAUGCCGCGUGAGUGAUGAAGGCCUUCGGGUUGUAAAACUCUUCGACGGGACGAUAAGUGACGGUACCGUAGAAGAAGCUCGGCUAACUCGCGCCAGCAGCCGC
This 440-nucleotide ribosomal RNA is filed under the name uncultured bacterium. RNAcentral's name for it is "SSU rRNA". It matches the Rfam family "Bacterial small subunit ribosomal RNA", at positions 26 to 518 of the family's 1533-position model. The record is from RNAcentral.